This 560-nucleotide ribosomal RNA is filed under the name Amphisphaeriaceae sp. C_1_BESC_137e. RNAcentral describes it as "eukaryotic LSU rRNA". It matches the Rfam family "Eukaryotic large subunit ribosomal RNA", at positions 1 to 572 of the family's 3401-position model. The record is from RNAcentral. Lineage: Eukaryota; Fungi; Ascomycota; Sordariomycetes; Amphisphaeriales; Amphisphaeriaceae.
ACCUCGGAUCAGGUAGGAAUACCCGCUGAACUUAAGCAUAUCAAUAAGCGGAGGAAAAGAAACCAACAGGGAUUGCCUUAGUAACGGCGAGUGAAGCGGCAAUAGCUCAAAUUUGAAAUCUGGCGCUUGCGUCCGAGUUGUAAUUUGCAGAGGAUGAUUUUGGUUAGGUACCUUCCGAGUUCCUUGGAACAGGACGCCUUAGAGGGUGAGAGCCCCGUACGGUUGGAUGCCGAGCCUUUGUAAAUCUCCUUCGACGAGUCGAGUAGUUUGGGAAUGCUGCUCUAAAUGGGAGGUAAAUUUCUUCUAAAGCUAAAUACCNGGCCAGAGACCGAUAGCGCACAAGUAGAGUGAUCGAAAGAUGAAAAGCACUUUGAAAAGAGGGUUAAAUAGCACGUGAAAUUGUUGAAAGGGAAGGAUUUAUGACCAGACUUUUUCUAGGAGGAUCAUCCGGUGUUCUCACCGGUGCACUUCUUCUAGUCUAGGCCAGCAUCGACUUUCGGCGGUGGAUAAAAGCUUUGGGAAUGUGACUCCUUUCGGGGAGUGUUAUAGCCUAUUGUAUA